Molecule: long non-coding RNA, 1470 nt
Organism: Polypterus senegalus (gray bichir)
Lineage: Eukaryota; Metazoa; Chordata; Cladistia; Polypteriformes; Polypteridae
Exons: 5
Source: RefSeq, a predicted model, not a curated record
GAAGUAAACAGAACCACGCCGAUCUAUCCCAUAGAAGUGCGCCCCGUGUCACCAUCUCCCAGCCCUCCUCUGUGGACUCCAGUGCUGAGCUGUCCACCGCCAGGCGCGUUCUGACAGAGAAGUUUUAUUUAUUCGUCCAAGUGACUGUCGCGGAAACUGCCACAUUCUAACUUUUAUUUAAUUGGCAGUACUUGAUAGUACAAGAGAUGAAGAAAACGGCUUUGCGUCUUUCUACUUAACUGCGCCGAGGUGUAGAAGACCACCUUCAGCGGUGAGGGGUCGUAACAACAAAGUGGAUGCUGGAAGGCACAGAAUGUUGGGCUGCUCUGCCGGAUUGACAGCUUCGCAGUUUUGGGCAGCAUCCUCUCUUUUCACACCGUUUGUGACACUUCAAGUGCCCCGUCGGCUCAUUGGACAGUGGAAAUCUUUGCAAAUUAGUGUAAUCAGCGCCAUUGAAGCGUGACUCUCUUGGUAAACUGCGGAGCACGGCUACUUACUGUCCCUUAGAGAGGAGUUAUACCAGUUGACAGUGUCUGGGUCACAGUGGCCAUCGACAGCCUUUAUUGAAAAAUUUUCUGAAGAUUUGAAAGAGAUGGGUGGUCAGAUAGGAGUCAUUGCAGAUAGUCCUCAGCAGAUACGGGAUAAUUUAGUAAAAGUGGUGGUGUACUAUCAACAACUAAAUUAUGAACAGAUUGAAGAGGAGCCCUCUCUCACUGAGAUUGAUGUUAUUUCCAAUAUGGGAGGACUGAUUGGUCUCUGGGUGGGAUUUUCUGUCUGCACACUGGCAGAGUUCUUCGAGCUCUUUGUCGAUGUGCUGUUUUUCAUGGUCAGACAAUGUCUCAGUAAAGCCAGAAAAAGUGCUUCAGCAAGUGGCUAUACCAAUCCAUAUUCAGGCAAGGGGAGCCCCAUCUUUAUUGGGCAGACGACUUCCAAACUCUAAUUAUUUUACUGAGCUAAAUGUAUUUACUUUGAAGGAGAUCUGAGCAUGGGGAGUUAACUGAAGAUUAGACAGGGUGAUGGUAAUAUAAUCUGCUUGCAUACCACAACUGCCAGCAAAAUGUCCCAUUAUUCAUAGAACUGAACAUUGUUAGUUCUGUGCUAAAUUCUACUAUCUUAAUAUUUUCUGUCUGUGUUAAAAAAGAAGGAACAUAAAAGCCUGCUGCAUACAUUUUGUAUUUUUUUUAUUUCACUGUGUUUCUUCUGUCUCUGCCAUGAACAUAAGCUAAUCAUUAUUUUGAAAUACCGAAAUGUACUUCCUUUCAAAAUUAUUUAAAAAGUGGAGUAAGAGGCCCACCAGAAUGGUGGUCAUUUCAAACAAACAUGCCCUUGGCUCUGAAACCAGGAUAAAAAUUCCAAACAACAUAACCUUAAAGCCUUAAAUACCCUGUAAAUUGUACUGACACUAAACAGAAAAACUGUAUGAACAGAUGAGAACGUUUACUUUUUGUUUAUUAAAGGAGGAAAACAGAG